UGCUGGGUGCUUUGUGUGGAUUUGUGUGUAUUACGUCGAAUCGAGAAACUGAAUUUAUUUUUACUUUUAUUUACCUUGAUUCAAAGAGUUUUAUUUUUAUAAUCAAACCAUAUUACUGAUAACAGUGUACAAUUUGCGACGCGAGAAAUUAUAAACGAUACACAAACGCACAAAGUAACAAAAAAAAAAAAAAA
Long non-coding RNA from Rhagoletis zephyria (snowberry fruit fly), 194 nucleotides. RefSeq lists it as uncharacterized. Lineage: Eukaryota; Metazoa; Arthropoda; Insecta; Diptera; Tephritidae. The record is from RefSeq and is a predicted model, not a curated record.